UGAGGAAUAUUGGUCAAUGGGCGCAAGCCUGAACCAGCCAUGCCGCGUGCAGGAUGACGGUCCUAUGGAUUGUAAACUGCUUUUGUACAGGAAGAAACACUCCCUCGUGAGGGAGCUUGACGGUACUGUAAGAAUAAGGAUCGGCUAACUCCGUGCCAGCAGCCGCGGUAAUACGGAGGAUCCAAGCGUUAUCCGGAAUCAUUGGGUUUAAAGGGUCCGUAGGCGGUUUUAUAAGUCAGUGGUGAAAUCUGGUCGCUCAACGAUCAAACGGCCAUUGAUACUGUAGAACUUGAAUUACUUGGAAGUAACUAGAAUAUGUAGUGUAGCGGUGAAAUGCUUAGAGAUUACAUGGAAUACCAAUUGCGAAGGCAGGUUACUACGAGUACAUUGACGCUGAUGGACGAAAGCGUGGGGAGCGAACA
RNAcentral lists this ribosomal RNA (422 nucleotides) under uncultured Flavobacterium sp. Its description in RNAcentral is "bacterial SSU rRNA". It matches the Rfam family "Bacterial small subunit ribosomal RNA", at positions 355 to 774 of the family's 1533-position model. Lineage: Bacteria; Pseudomonadati; Bacteroidota; Flavobacteriia; Flavobacteriales; Flavobacteriaceae. The record is from RNAcentral. RNAcentral also lists the same sequence under 1 other name.